GGAGUCUGGACCGUGUCUCAGUUCCAGUGUGGGGGACCUUCCUCUCAGAACCCCUACCGAUCGUCGCCACGGUGGGCCGUUACCUCACCAACUAGCUAAUCAGACGCGGGUCCAUCUCAUACCUAUAAAUAUUUUCACACCAGAUCAUGCGAUCCUGUGCGCUUAUGCGGUGUUAUCAGUCGUUUCCAACUGCUAUCCCCCUGUAUGAGGCAGGUUACCCACGCGUUACUCACCCGUCCGCCACUAAGUUUAACAAGAAUCUGCCGAAGCUUCAUCAGCGUUAAACUCCGUUCGACUUGCAUGUGUUAGGCACGCCGCCAGCG
Molecule: ribosomal RNA, 323 nt
Filed under: uncultured Butyrivibrio sp.
Lineage: Bacteria; Bacillati; Bacillota; Clostridia; Lachnospirales; Lachnospiraceae
Description: partial 16S ribosomal RNA
Source: RNAcentral